Molecule: small RNA, 3976 nt
Filed under: Pan troglodytes (chimpanzee)
Lineage: Eukaryota; Metazoa; Chordata; Mammalia; Primates; Hominidae
Description: processed transcript
Source: RNAcentral
GGCAAGCUGCGCCGCGCCUUCGGGUUGCUUCCGGAUCUGAUACUUGGGCAGAGCUCCCCGGGGUUCAUUGUCUUCGCUUCACAGGAUCUGUUUUGAGUCCUGUCCACCGGAUCCUACGGGGGGUACCUUCGAAAAAAAACGGGCUAUGCUGCUGUUGCGUGGACAAUUGAUAAAACAAAGAAUAAUAAGCAGGUUCUUGAUAAAUUGCAAGUGGAACGAGAAAGAGGAAUCACUGUUAAAGCACAGACAGCAUCUCUCUUUUACAAUUGUGAAGGAAAGCAGUACCUUUUAAAUCUCAUUGAUACACCGGGCCAUGUUGAUUUUAGUUAUGAAGUAUCCAGGUCACUUUCUGCUUGCCAGGGUGUUUUACUUGUGGUUGAUGCAAAUGAGGGAAUUCAAGCCCAAACUGUAGCAAACUUCUUUCUUGCCUUCGAAGCACAGCUAUCGGUAAUUCCAGUUAUAAAUAAGAUAGAUCUGAAGAAUGCUGAUCCUGAAAGGGUUGAAAACCAAAUUGAGAAAGUGUUUGAUAUUCCAAGUGAUGAAUGUAUUAAGAUUUCUGCUAAACUUGGAACAAAUGUUGAGAGUGUUCUUCAGGCAAUUAUUGAAAGAAUCCCCCCUCCUAAAGUGCAUCGCAAAAAUCCCCUGAGAGCUUUGGUAUUUGACUCCACCUUUGACCAGUAUAGAGGUGUGAUAGCCAAUGUAGCAUUAUUUGACGGAGUGGUUUCCAAAGGAGAUAAAAUUGUAUCUGCACAUACUCAAAAGACAUAUGAAGUUAAUGAAGUAGGAGUUUUGAAUCCUAAUGAGCAGCCAACUCAUAAAUUAUAUGCAGGACAGGUGGGCUAUCUGAUUGCUGGGAUGAAAGAUGUCACUGAAGCGCAAAUAGGAGAUACAUUAUGUUUACAUAAGCAACCAGUGGAGCCCUUGCCUGGGUUUAAAUCAGCGAAACCAAUGGUAUUUGCAGGAAUGUAUCCUCUAGACCAAUCUGAAUAUAACAAUCUGAAGAGUGCUAUAGAAAAACUGACUUUAAAUGAUUCCAGUGUGACCGUUCAUCGGGAUAGUAGCCUUGCUCUGGGUGCUGGCUGGAGGCUAGGAUUUCUUGGACUUUUGCACAUGGAAGUUUUCAACCAGCGACUGGAGCAAGAAUAUAAUGCUUCUGUUAUUUUAACAACCCCUACUGUUCCAUAUAAAGCUGUACUGUCAUCAUCAAAAUUGAUAAAGGAACAUAGAGAAAAAGAAAUUACAAUUAUCAAUCCUGCACAAUUCCCCGAUAAAUCAAAAGUAACAGAAUAUUUGGAGCCAGUUGUUUUGGGCACUAUUAUCACACCAGAUGAAUACACUGGAAAAAUAAUGAUGCUUUGCGAGGCUCGAAGAGCAGUUCAGAAGAAUAUGAUAUUUAUUGAUCAAAAUAGAGUUAUGCUUAAAUAUCUCUUUCCUUUGAAUGAAAUUGUGGUAGAUUUUUAUGACUCUCUGAAAUCCCUAUCUUCUGGAUAUGCUAGUUUUGAUUACGAAGAUGCAGGCUACCAGACUGCAGAACUUGUAAAAAUGGAUAUUCUACUGAAUGGAAAUACUGUAGAGGAGCUAGUAACUGUUGUACACAAAGACAAAGCUCAUUCAAUUGGCAAAGCCAUAUGUGAACGGCUGAAGGAUUCUCUUCCUAGGCAACUGUUUGAGAUAGCAAUUCAAGCUGCUAUUGGAAGUAAAAUCAUUGCAAGAGAAACUGUGAAAGCCUAUAGGAAAAACGUUUUGGCAAAAUGUUAUGGUGGUGAUAUUACCCGAAAAAUGAAGCUUUUGAAGAGACAAGCAGAAGGGAAAAAAAAGCUGAGGAAAAUUGGCAACGUUGAAGUUCCAAAAGAUGCUUUUAUAAAAGUUCUGAAAACACAAUCUUCUAAAUAAUUGGUGGGAAAACAAAGAAUUUUCAUUGCAAUUUGUAAUAUGCUGACAACAGAAAGAAAAUUAUAAAAUUUGCUUGUUACUUUCAGGGUAUUCAGGUUCAAAUAACCUAGUAGUCUUUCGUUGAAAGGGAGUAGUUAGUGGGUAGGCAAGAGCUUUUUAUUUUGAAGCCAUGUUGCCUGUUCUCAAAUAUCUGUUCCAACCACUCACUAGUAAGGUGACCGUGGCCAAAUUAACCUUUGUUUCCUCUUCAGUAAAAUCGAGAUUAUAUUACUACCUACAUAAGUUGUUGUUGUGAAGAUUAAAUGAGGUAAUACGUUAAAUAUUCAGAGGUGCAAGACACAUAGCACUCAAUUGUAACUACAGUUAAGUCCUUAAAUGCCAUCGAAAGGUUCUUAGAAACUGACUUUAAGCAAAAUGACACGUAGCACAAUGUUCUUGAAUGAUGUCAUUUCCUUAAGUGGUUUGUAACAUCAAUGAGGAAAAAAAAUUGGUUUAUGCGUCAUUUCAUUUUUAUUUAUUUUUUGAGACAGAGUCUUGCCCUGUCGCCCAGGCUGGAGUGCAAUGGCGCAAUCUCGACUCACUGCAACCUCUGCCUCCCGGGUUCAAGAGAUUCUCCUGCCUCAGCCUCCAUUACAGGCGUGCACCACCAUGCUCGGCUAAUUUUUUGUAUCUUUAGUAGAGUCGGGGUUUCACCAUGUUGGCCAGGCUGGUCUUGAACUCCUGACCUCGUGAUCCACCCGCCGUGGCCUCCCAAAGUGCUGAUUACAGGUGUGAGCCACCAUGCCCAGCCAUGUCAUUUCAUUUAAAGUCACAAUUUCCAUGAAUCUCAACAAGUGAGGACCUGCUAUAUUUUGUUGCAUGCAGUUUUUCUUUACUGACACUAAAAGGCCCCAUACUUAAGAUUCCAUCUACUUUAAGUUUAAAGGAUUUUCAGAAUCACCUUAAGUGUCAAAUUUGUUAGCAGGAUUAAUUGAUAUGAAUUCACUUAUUAAACAGUAAACUCAAAUAACAUAGACAUCAAAUAACAGACAUCUGCUCUAGUUCAUGAUAAAAUGUUUAUAGAUUUUAUCAGGUGGUUAGUUUGAAACUAAAUGGUUUACAUCUAAAUUAAGGGCAGGAGCUGUCUUUCAGACAUUCAAAACGCAUUUGUGUAAAAUGACAGGUGUUUGGUAUUACCAGGAACUCAUAAUGACAUUCUAAUAAUUAUUGUCUAAAUUUCAUAAUCGAAGCGAUUUUAGAGUAGUUAACUUGAGAUUUCACAGCCAGUAAAUGGCUGUAUUUCUCCAGAGCUCUCAGCUCCCAUGUUUAUUCAGCCAACGAACAAACCAGACAGCAGACUGUAUUAGAGCAAGACAACAUCAUUUAGCCAUUGAUUUUUAUCUUCUACCUUGAAUGAAUUGAAUGAAGAAAAUGUCUUUUAGGGAUAAACACUAUCAAGGAUGAAUUUUAUACUAAGGUUAUAUGAAAGAAAAAGAAAUCUCAAAACCACUAAGCCAAAGGGAAGUCAAGCUGGGAACUGAUUGAGGCAAACCUGCCUCCCAUUGUAUUCCUAAAUAAGACAGCCACAAAGAUAAAAUUUGCCCACAAGGGAAUUCCUUAUGGACUAAGAACUCAUAGUCUUCCUUCUGCUCACAUGAAACAAAUGCAUAAAUGAUUGCUUUCUCUGUUUCAUGUUUCACUAAGCCAGAUUAAGGUAUAACUGACUAUUCCUCUACCCUCCUCUCACAUGUAAAUUGUAUAUUCAGUGAAAGGCUAAUCAGAAACUCAAAAAAAUGCAACCCUUUCUCUCUUACCUGCCUAUGCUUGAAGCCCCCGCCCCUCUUCAAGUUGUCCUGCCUUUCAAGACCAAUGUACACCUUACACAUACUGAUUGAUGUCUCAUGUCUCUCUAAAAUGUGUAAAACCAAGCUGUGCCCCAACCACCUUGGGCACAUGUGGUGAGGACCUCCUGAGGCUGUGUCAUGCGCACACCUUAACCCUGGGAAAAUAAACUUUCUAAACUGACUUGAGAGCUGUCUCAGAUAUUUUGAGCUCACAGUUAUUGUGAAAUCAUUUUAAUUAUAAAUUAAGUGGAGAUUUACUU